This is a long non-coding RNA of Vespa crabro (European hornet), 823 nucleotides long. RefSeq lists it as uncharacterized. The record is from RefSeq and is a predicted model, not a curated record. The transcript has 2 exons. NCBI's taxonomy places the organism in Eukaryota, Metazoa, Arthropoda, Insecta, Hymenoptera, Vespidae.
ACGAGUUUAGAGCAGACCGAGUCAGCGACAUGUCGCCGCAAAAUGCGUCGGCGAGCUCUCGAAACUCUUUCAUCAGGGGUUGUUCAUGGCUAAACUUGGCCAACCAAGCCUACCGAUGCCGAUGUGCCGUACAAUCAGGUCAUCUGUUAACAAAUCUCACGUUGAUGUUCCAGUUUUAUACAACAAAAUCGGUAGAAACUAUGUCAAGGAUUUGACUUUUUUCAGAUUGACGCGCUUAAAUUCGUCUAUAAAAGUAGAAAUAAUUAUGAGCCGAAAUUUGAAAUCUAGUAGACCUAAAUUUUAUUCAAAUUCUUCUCGUUCAAGGUUGUCCGAAGGUCAAUAAAUUCGUAUCAUUAAAUUCCAAUGACUUUUUCUUCUUCCUCUUCUUCUUUCUUAUUUUUUUUUUUCACAUUUAUUAGAAAUAAAUAUAAAUGUCAACUGUAGAUGAAAUAAUGAUUGUAAUCGAUAUUACGAGAAAGGAUGGUUACGAUUGCGGACAGGUGUGAUACCAGACAAGUUCUUGCCGACGAUAUGUUCGUGUCCAUGUUAUAUGUAAAAUGUGUCUCAAAAGAUAAGGAGAGAGUUGAGAAUAAGAAGAAGGGAGAGAAGUAGAAGCCGGGGAAAAGAUAUAAAUACAGUCUAUAGAAGGUUGUGAGUGCGUGUGUGUAAAUAUUGUACUAGUCUAACGUGUAUAAAGAUAGAAGGAAAUGGGGCAUUUUCGAAGAAAAACAAAUGUAGGAGAGAGAAAAUUUAGAAAGAAGUGCAUUAUAAAUUUGUUCUGUAAAUUGAAGCUUUUUAACUUGAAUAAAGAUGUUUGAGAAAA